UUUAAAAAGAUAUUUUGUUAGCAACACUUUAGUUGUAACUUUCUAUGUGAUAAAUUUCAAAUUAAAAAAUACCCUGAUUUAUUCUUUAUGUUUUUAAUUUAAAUAAGAAAUUUUGUGCCAAAACAAAGUUAAGAAAAAUAAAUUAAAGGAAGAGAGUAUUAAUUCUAUGUAAGCACCUCAAGUUUACCUGUACGUAGUUUCUUUGAGUUGAAGAACUUGUCUUAUGGUUUCUCCCAAUAACCACAACUUAUAUGGAAAGCAUUCAGUGAGAGGAAAGUCUCGGGGUGGGUGAGGUCAACUUAUAAUUAGAUAUUAUUUCAUAUUAUUGAAGUGAAGUGAGUCAACAUCCUAUACAUUUCUUCAUGAAUCUGUUGCCUUCUCAGUAUCGUGGCUCACACCAAAAUCGUGUUUUAUCCAUGGAUAUCCAGUAAAGUUCAAUAGUAUCACACAUGAUACUAGCCACGUAUCUCUAAAUAUAUAUAAAGGGUUAUUCCCUUGGAGCCUCUACAAGGAACUAUUUGACAAAUACAAGGAUAAUCACAAGAGGAAAUUCAGGGUCACUCUCUGUGGUGGAAGGUCAGACAUUUCAUUCACUUUUCUAUUUUUCUUCAUCCCAGCUAUCUGCAAUAUGGGCAUAAUGCAUAUUGUUUGUUAGAAAAAAACAUGGAAGAGGUCUAAUUUGUCAUAGCAGAAUCUAAGAAAACUUUGGUGAGGUAACACUUUACAUUGUCCUCCAGAAGUUUGUUUUCCUCUCGCAGCAGUUUUUCCUGCAAUAAUUAAGGGAUAUUGAUAAUGUGCAGUCUGAUGGAAAAUUUCACAUGAUAUAAUUCAUCCUUAAACAAUAAAAGAUAUAUGAUGACAGCUGUUGAUUACAAAGCUACAUAGUGCUGUAGAAAGCAG
Long non-coding RNA from Capsicum annuum, 900 nucleotides. RefSeq lists it as uncharacterized. Lineage: Eukaryota; Viridiplantae; Streptophyta; Magnoliopsida; Solanales; Solanaceae. The record is from RefSeq and is a predicted model, not a curated record. The transcript is spliced from 3 exons.